RNAcentral lists this ribosomal RNA (510 nucleotides) under uncultured bacterium. RNAcentral describes it as "partial 16S ribosomal RNA". It matches the Rfam family "Bacterial small subunit ribosomal RNA", at positions 28 to 523 of the family's 1533-position model. The record is from RNAcentral.
GACGAACGCUGGCGGCGUGCCUAAUACAUGCAAGUCGAGCGAAUGACGAGAAGCUUGCUUCUCUGAUUUAGCGGCGGACGGGUGAGUAACACGUGGGCAACCUGCCCUACAGAUCGGGAUAACUCAGGGAAACCUGGGCUAAUAGGGGAUAGUCCUCCGAAUCACCUGUUUUGAAGUUGAAAGGCGCUUACGCGUCCAUGUAGGUUGGGCCCGGGGUGCAUUAGCUAGUUGGGAGGGUAAGGGCCUACCAAGACAACGCUGCAUAGCCGACCUGAGAGGAUGGUCGGCCACACUGGGACUGAGACACGGCCCAAACUCCUACGGGAGGCAGCAGUAGGGAAUCUUCCACAAUGGACGAAAGUCUGGUGGGGCAACGCCGCGUGAGUGAUGAAGGUUUUCGGAUCGUAAAACUCUGUUGUAAGGGAAGAACAAGUACGUUAGGAAAUGAACGUACCUCGACGGUACCUUAUUAGAAAGCCACGGCUAACUACGUGCCAGCAGCCGCCGUAA